CGGGGCGGCGGGCUCAGGGCUGGGCACUGAGCGCGGGAGGUGGCCUCUCAAGGCAGGGAUCUCGGUGCCUCUGCACGCCUGGCACGGCGGCCGACACUCGAAUCAGUGAUCAGAACAAAAGGUCUUGACAAGAAGAUGCUUGCUUGUAAGAAGCAAAAAAUGGCUUUCUUCAAAGGAUGUAGAAGUAGGAUAAGAAAGUGAGCAUGAGAACCUGAAGCAGGCUUUUGUUCUUGCUGUCUCCGAGUCUUGGCGCAGAAUCAAGUAACAGAUUUCAAGAAGUUGGAAGCAUGAUCUACUUAUUCUGGAAGAAGAUAUUGAGGCAGUGAAUGCUUCUAAAAUUGUUUCCCUUAAAAAAAGUGCUGUGGCCAUGCUUGUGAUUGAAAUAGAAGAAAGGAUACUCAGACGGAAAGAAGCUCAGGAAAUUCAAUUUGACAAAUUCCUCAAUGUCCUAGAGACAGAGAAUUGUGCCUAUGGGAGAAAACAAUGCUCCUGGAGAGAUGAGAGCAAGCCCUGGAAACCCACUGACUGCCUUUGGCAGAGGAUAUUCUCCUGGAACCAAAAGUUCUUCAGUCCAGAGCUCUCAUUCCACCUGUCUUCCUGCAUACACAUAUCUGGAGAGAGUGAAACCCCAAAUCCAGUUCCUGGUGUGUUAAAUGAGAAACUUCAGUGGAAUAGAAAGGGCUCAAGCAACUCCAGCACAGGGACACAGCUCUUAAAAUGAAGCAAAAUAUUCAUGAAAUCAGCUACCUUCUGGGAAUGAGAGAACCUUGGGCUAACCCCUUCACUUCUCAAGAAUAGAAGCUGAAUCUGGGGACUCUGUAAGGCCCCUCUGAUGCCCUGUGAGGAGUAGAACUGGAGUUCAUAUUACAUCCUUUCCUCUAGGUUCCAUUUCUUCUAAUGAUGUCACAUGAGAAAAUGGUCUUAAGUGGAAGUCACUUCACUCUCCUUCCUAGCACAUUUCGAUAAUUCUGAGGAAAAUGAGGUUCCCUGGGAGAAAGACAGGUGGGUACACUCAGACUUCAUUCUUGAGGUAUGCUGAUUCAGGCACGUCCUGCUGGAGGAAUCCCUUCUGUUCCCCCACAUUUUUUCUUCUAUGCAUGUUAAGUUGCCAUUGCUUUCCCAGGAGUACAAGAAGAGGCCUGGGACUUCCUCUCCAUCCUUCUUCAGUUUAGAACAUGUAGGUGUCAUUCCAAAUGUGAUACUAGACUGAAAUGUAAAAGCAGAGAAGACUUCUUCAUGAUGAACCUGUAUUUAAUUAGGCAGUCGAGCCAAUCUAAUUCUGGCAUGUGACAGAUUGAGAGGCAAUUUGUGAAGGAAGACAUUUACUAAAAUAAACACAAAGCUAAACUAAGAUGUUAAGUUUGAAGGUGAUGAGCAGUGAUAUAUGGUGCUAUUGUAUCCUGAGAGCCUUGCAAUUAUCAUUUCAUUAUGCCAAUUUUAUCAACUUAACAUUUUCGUGCUGGGAAAACAAUACUGGAAUAGAAGCUUCCUCCGGACUAAUUUUUGAAUAAAAUAAACUCAUAUCAUAACUAUCUUUUAAAAAUUUAACUAAAAGUUGUACAAAAAUUUCAAAACACAAAGAUGGCUUUAAAGUAAAAUUUUAAAGUAUGCUUACAUUAGAAAUUAUGCUUAUGGUGUUUUAAUGUGCACUUAAUUUGACUUAGUAAUUUAUUUUGCUAUAUCAGAUAUUUUAUUCCAAAUUUCAUCCAAGUAUAAAAAAUAAGUAUUAAUUGGCAUGGUAGGGAUUACUGGUUUCUUUCCAUCAAUGGUGAUGAAAUAAAUGAAAAUUAAAAGAAGGAAAUAUCAUCUCACAUGCAUUAAAUUUGUUUUUAAAAUGUCAUUAUUUUAAGACCAUUGUUCAUCAGAAUUUGUACUUUAAUUGUUAAGUCAUUUAUAAAUGGCUUAAAUUGUAGAAAUAUUUAGCACCCUAUGGUUUUGUAUAACAAACUCCCAGUAUCUUGAAAACUAAGCAUAAGUUCCAGAUUUUACUAUAUAUUCAAAAUAAUACAUGGAUAUGAAAGUACCAUGGUACUCAUUUAUAGUAAAAGAUAUUGAAAAGAAUUUUCUUGUUAUAAGUAUGUUUAUUUAAGUAGGUGGGAAGAUCUAAAAGAAAAGCAGAAAAAGAAAAACUGAUACUAUGUAUCAAAAUGUAUUGAUACUAUUUAUUGCUGUCAUUACUUUGCUCAACUCAGUUAAAAUGUGAAGUCUCUGGAUUCAUAAGUAAGAUGUAACAGGAACAAAAUGCAGGAUUUCCCUAAGAAAUAAGGAAGACUCAUCGGUGUCAUGGUAGACAAAAUAAAUCUCCUUAGGAAAAAGGAUUACAACACCGAAACCAUAAAUAUAAAGACUAAGACUUGAGAUGUGAAACUAAUGAGGCAACAUUUUGAAUUUCUCAGAAGGCAGCUGACAUUUUUAUCGGUGUAAAUGACACUGUUUCCAUGAUUUCCAAACAGUCUCUAACACACUGGACUUACUCUUGAAAUUAAUUUCUCUAUCCUGAAGUCAUUUAGAAAUGUGUAUUGAGAUGAACCAACUGACUAGUUCUUAGGUUAUUGCCAUCAAGUGUUACUACAUUUUGUUAUAUUUAACAUAUGGUGAAUUUUAAAAAAUAAUUUCAGUGGAAGUUUGGUCAGUCUAGUUAAGAAAUUAGAAAUUCAAUUACCAUGGAAAUAUGUAUAUCACUUUUCCUUUAGAGAGAAAUGUUCAAAAAUAUUUUUGUUACAGUUAAGUUUGGGGUAAAAUAUGUUCAUCAUAUAUUGCAAGCAAGUGUCUGUGUGACACGUUACAUCUAUACUUCAACCACAACAAUAUUAAAACAGAGUUAAAAACGAAUGGGGCUGUGAAAGUAGAUCAGUUGAUAGAGUGCUUGCCUGGAAUGCACAAAUCCUUGGAUUUCAUGCCCAGUACCACAUAACCAAGGUAUGGUGGUCCAUGCCUGUAAUUGUCAAAUCCCCUCACUCAAGCUGUGGAGGUAGUUAUAGUGAGUUUGAGAGCAGCCUAGGUUACAUGAGUCUGUCUUUAAAAAAAUCAGAAUGAGUAAGUAGAUGGAAACUAAACAACGGGAAAGAAGCAAGAGAAGCCUCUGUCCUAACAACAAUGUGAAAAAUAGAAUAAAAAAGAGAAGACCAAAUGAGAAUCCAGGUUUCCCAUGAGAAAACCAGGAAAGAGACUGGAGAAGAUUGGAGUCUUUUUAAAAGUAAAUUUAUUUGGUAGUAGACAUGAAAAAUAACAUACAUGUGCUAUCUGUAGAGUGGAAAAGGUUCAGGUGUAGGAUGCUGCUAAGGACGAUGGGGAUAACAUAAGUGAUUUCAAAUAGGGCCUCAGUAUCAGGUGGUAUCAGCCCACAUUGCAGCAGACAGGUGUAGAGCAGACAUGCAUGCAUAGCAUUUGUUUUCAGUCAGACUACGGUAUCCUGUGUGCAGAGCGGUGUUAUCGCACAGUAUAUUAUUGCACUAGAAGCUGGCCAUGAUGUCUUCCCAGGUUUAUCAGCAUUAUUGGUAUUAGUAACUAUUGGUGGUGUCAAUAUGAUUUUCUUAGACUUUAUUGUAUUGCUGUGAGAAAAUCACUGAUAGGGAAGGCUCAUGCUCAUUGUUUCAAAGGGCUCAGUUUAUAGUACUUUGCCCUCAUGCACUCAGGUAAAACAUCAUGGUGGAGAGACUGUAUGGCAGAGACAGGCCUUCACCUGUUGGUACAUAGGGAGCAGAAAGAAGGUAGAUAGCAUGGCCCCAAGGAUCUCUUCUCACUAAUUUAUUUCCUUUGACCAGGCCCUACCUCCUAAAGUUCCCCAAUUCUCACAAACCAGUGCCCCCAGCUACCCACAAAAGAUCAUAUCAUCAGCCCUUGGGAGAAAAUCUACAUUCAAACUGUAUCCAAUGAUUUGAUGAAAGCGAUGCGGUUUUAGUUCUGAGGACUUUUUCACAUAAUGACUAACUUCUCAACACUCAGUGUUGAAUUAUUUUUUAAAUCAUCUCAUGUGCAUAUAUGUGUGUGUAGGUAGGUGUGGCGGUCAGAGAACAUCUUUCUCGCAUUGCCUCUUCCUCCCCACCUUGUUUUUGAGUCAUGGUUUUCUUGCUGUUUCUGCUGCUGUGCUGCUAUGUGUGCACUCAACACUACAAUCUCCUAUUUGUACCUCCCAUUUUAUCAGAAGGGAGCUUGAU
Molecule: non-coding RNA, 4157 nt
Organism: Cricetulus griseus (Chinese hamster)
Lineage: Eukaryota; Metazoa; Chordata; Mammalia; Rodentia; Cricetidae
Source: RefSeq, a predicted model, not a curated record